GAACCAAAAUACUGAACAUUUACAGUAGUCACCUACUAAGUAUAAUGGUUACAUGCACUGACCUACCGCUCCUUACUUCAACCAUUGGUCUUUAUUUUAACAAUCUCUUAGCUAAUCAAGAUUGUUGAAAAUCGUAUAUUUUGCACGCAUACCAAGCAUAUAAAAAUUGAUUGCCAUGUUAUUAGACAAAAAAUUGAUGGACUAAUUCAUCUUUUACCCAUUUCAUCAAUUCACCAAUUGGUAG
RNAcentral lists this long non-coding RNA (244 nucleotides) under Carica papaya (papaya). RNAcentral describes it as "long non-coding RNA (CPAP_LNC004831)". Lineage: Eukaryota; Viridiplantae; Streptophyta; Magnoliopsida; Brassicales; Caricaceae. The record is from RNAcentral.